UCCUUGGUGGUCUAGUGGCUAGGAUUUGGCACUUUCACAGCUAUGGCCCAGGGUUCAAUCCCUGGCCUGGGAA
This 73-nucleotide transfer RNA is filed under the name Sus scrofa (pig). It matches the Rfam family "tRNA". Rfam says of the family: Transfer RNA (tRNA) molecules are approximately 80 nucleotides in length. Their secondary structure includes four short double-helical elements and three loops (D, anti-codon, and T loops). Lineage: Eukaryota; Metazoa; Chordata; Mammalia; Artiodactyla; Suidae. The record is from Rfam by way of RNAcentral.